RNAcentral lists this ribosomal RNA (432 nucleotides) under uncultured bacterium. RNAcentral describes it as "partial 16S ribosomal RNA". It matches the Rfam family "Bacterial small subunit ribosomal RNA", at positions 29 to 506 of the family's 1533-position model. The record is from RNAcentral.
AACGAACGCUGGCGGCAUGCCUAACACAUGCAAGUCGAACGAGACCUUCGGGUCUAGUGGCGCACGGGUGCGUAACGCGUGGGAACCUGCCCUUAGGGUCGGAAUAACUCCCCGAAAGGGGUGCUAAUACCGGAUAAUGUCUUCGGACCAAAGAUUUAUCGCCUUUGGAUGGGCCCGCGUUGGAUUAGCUAGUUGGGAGGGUAAAAGCCUACCAAGGCGGCCAUCCAUAGCUGGUCUGAGAGGAUGAUCAGCCACACUGGGACUGAGACACGGCCCAGACUCCUCCCGGAGGCAGAAGUGGGGAAUAUUGGACACUGCGCGAGAGCCUGAUCCAGCAAUGCCGCGUGAGUGAUGUAGGCCUUAGGGUUGUAAAGCUCUUUUACCCUGGAUGAUAAUGACAGUACCGGGAGAAUAAGCUCCGCCUACUUCCGU